This 265-nucleotide ribosomal RNA is filed under the name uncultured Phaeobacter sp. Its description in RNAcentral is "partial 16S ribosomal RNA". It matches the Rfam family "Bacterial small subunit ribosomal RNA", at positions 1093 to 1382 of the family's 1533-position model. Lineage: Bacteria; Pseudomonadati; Pseudomonadota; Alphaproteobacteria; Rhodobacterales; Roseobacteraceae. The record is from RNAcentral.
CGAGCGCACCCUUUCCUUAGUUGCCAGCACUUCGGCUGGGCACUCUUGGGAAACUGCCCGUGAUAAGCGGGAGGAAGGUGUGGAUGACGUCAAGUCCUCAUGGCCCUUACGGGUUGGGGUACACACCUGCUACAAUGGCAGUAACAAUGGGGUAAUCCCAAAACACUGUCUCACUUCUCAUUGUCAUCGGCUCCUCGUCCGCAUGGAGUCCGAAUCCCUAGCCAUCUCGUAACAGCAUGAUGCGGUGAAUACAUUCCCAGGCCUU